RNAcentral lists this ribosomal RNA (348 nucleotides) under Triticum aestivum (bread wheat). Its description in RNAcentral is "partial small subunit ribosomal RNA". The record is from RNAcentral. Lineage: Eukaryota; Viridiplantae; Streptophyta; Magnoliopsida; Poales; Poaceae.
AUGCCGCAGCUGAGCCUGAGCACCAACGUGCCGGUGGACGCCGUCGCCGCCGCCGACAUCCUCCGGGACUGCUCCAGGGCGCUCGCCAGGAUCAUCGGCAAGCCAGAAUCCUACGUGACGGUGUCGAUCGACGGGUCGGUGCCGACGUCGUUCGCGGGGAGCGAGGAGCCCGCGGCGUACGGGGAGAUCAUGUCUAUCGGGGGCCUCGGCCCCAGCGUCAACGGCAAGCUCAGCGCCGCCCUCGCCGACAUCCUCGAGGCCAAGCUCUCCGUCAGCGCCAGCAGGUUCUACGUCAAGUUCGACGAUGUCCAGGGGUACAACGUGGGCUUCAACGGAACCACGUUCUAA